UGUUUGGUUGUGAAAGCAGCUGGAGAAGCCAAAGAGAGAAAGUGACUGUCCUUGCCCAGGAGCAGAAGUAGACGAUCAGGAAAUGAAGGAUUCUGUUAAAAGUGCAGACUGCAUAGAAAGGCUGGCACGGAAGUACAUGCAGAGGUGCACAGUAGAGUCGAGCACAGAGUCCGAGCCCGAGUCCGGCGCUGAGGUCUCAACUGGAGGACUCAAGAAAGUGAGGAAUGCCAAGGGGAAGC
Nothoprocta perdicaria is the source of this 239-nucleotide long non-coding RNA. RefSeq lists it as uncharacterized. The transcript has 4 exons. The record is from RefSeq and is a predicted model, not a curated record. Lineage: Eukaryota; Metazoa; Chordata; Aves; Tinamiformes; Tinamidae.